AAACCAACAGGGAUUGCCCUAGUAACGGCGAGUGAAGCGGCAAGAGCUCAAAUUUGAAAUCUGGCCCCUCUGGGGUCCGAGUUGUAAUUUGUAGAGGAUGCUUUUGGGUUGCUGCCGGUCUAAGUUCCUUGGAACAGGACGUCACAGAGGGUGAGAAUCCCGUACGUGAUCGGUGACGCGCCCUCCGUAAAGCUCCUUCGACGAGUCGGGUUGUUUGGGAAUGCAGCCCUAAAUUGGAGGUAAAUUUCUUCUAAAGCUAAAUACCGGCCAGAGACCGAUAGCGCACAAGUAGAGUGAUCGAAAGAUGAAAAGCACUUUGGAAAGAGAGUUAAAAAGUACGUGAAAUUGUUGAAAGGGAAGCGCUUGCAAUCAGUCUCGACGGCGGCCGUUCCCCUCGUCUUAUGACGGGGUCACUCGGCUGCCGCCGGGCCAGCAUCGGUUCUGACGGCCGGACAAAGGUUGCGGGAAUGUGGCUCCCCACGGGGAGUGUUAUAGCCCGGGACGCAAUACGGCCAGUCGGGACCGAGGUCCGCGCUUCGGCUAGGAUGCUGGCGAAAUGGUUGUAAGCGGC
RNAcentral lists this ribosomal RNA (571 nucleotides) under uncultured fungus. Its description in RNAcentral is "eukaryotic LSU rRNA". It matches the Rfam family "Eukaryotic large subunit ribosomal RNA", at positions 62 to 648 of the family's 3401-position model. The record is from RNAcentral. Lineage: Eukaryota; Fungi.